This 253-nucleotide ribosomal RNA is filed under the name uncultured bacterium. RNAcentral describes it as "partial 16S ribosomal RNA". It matches the Rfam family "Bacterial small subunit ribosomal RNA", at positions 524 to 776 of the family's 1533-position model. The record is from RNAcentral.
UACGUAGGGUGCAAGCGUUGUCCGGAUUUAUUGGGCGUAAAGAGCGUGUAGGCGGUCUGGUAGGUCCGUUGUGAAAACUCGAGGCUCAACCUCGAGACGCCGAUGGAAACCCUCAGACUAGAGUCCGGAAGAGGAGAGUGGAAUUCCUGGUGUAGCGGUGAAAUGCGCAGAUAUCAGGAAGAACACCCGUGGCUAAGGCGGCUCUCUAGUACGGUACUGACGCUGAGACGCGAAAGCGUGGGGAGCGAACAGG